AAAGAUUAAGCCAUGCAUGUCUAAGCACAAGCCUAAGAAUGGUAAAGCCGCGAAUGGCUCAUUACAACAGCCAUAGUUUACUGGAUCUUACUUUCCUACUUGGAUAACUGUGGUAAUUCUAGAGCUAUACACGCAUGAAAGCUCUGACCGUUCGGGAGGAGCGCAUUUAUUAGAACAAAACCAAUCGGGCCUUCGGGCCCGCCAGUUGGUGAAUCUGAAUAACUUUGCAGAUCGCACGGUCUCGUACCGGCGACGUAUCUUUCAAAUGUCUGCCUUAUCAACUUUAGAUGGUAGUUUACACGCCUACCAUGGUUGUAACGGGUAACGGAGAAUAAGGGUUCGACUCCGGAGAGGGAGCCUGAGAAAUGGCUACCACAUCCAAGGAAGGCAGCAGGCACGCAAAUUACCCACUCCCGGCACGGGGAGGUAGUGACGAAAAAUAACGAGGCGGUUCUCUACGAGGCCCGCCAUCGGAAUGGGUACAAUUUAAAUCCUUUAACGAGGAUUAUUGGAGGGCAAGUCUGGUGCCAGCAGCCGCGGUAAUUCCAGCUCCAAUAGCGUAUAUUAAAGUUGUUGCGGUUAAAAAGCUCGUAGUUGGAUCUGCGGCCGAGGAGGGCGGUCCCCCGUUGGGUGGCUACUGCCUUUCCUGGCCUAACUCUCUGGUUUUCCUCUGGUGCUCUUCACUGAGUGCCUCUGGUGGCCAGAACGUUUACUUUGAAAAAAUUAGAGUGCUCAAAGCAGGCAUACUGCCUGAAUAGUGGUGCAUGGAAUAAUGAAAUAGGAUAUUGGUUCUGUUUUAUUGGUUCGGAGCUAAUAUAAUGAUUGAAGGGGACAGACGGGGGCAUUCGUAUUGCGACGUUAGAGGUGAAAUUCUUGGAUCGUCGCAAGACGGACUACUGCGAAAGCAUUUGCCAAGAAUGUUUUCAUCAAUCAAGAACGAAAGUCUGAGGUUCGAAGGCGAUCAGAUACCGCCCUAGUUCAGACCGUAAACGAUGCCAACUAGCGAUCCGAGGGCGUUAAUUUAUGACUCCUCGGGAAGCUUCCGGGAAACCAAAGUUUUUGGGUUCCGGGGGAAGUAUGGUUGCAAAGCUGAAACUUAAAGGAAUUGACGGAAGGGCACCACCAGGAGUGGAGCCUGCGGCUUAAUUUGACUCAACACGGGAAAACUCACCCGGCCCGGACACCGUAAGGAUUGACAGAUUGAGAGCUCUUUCUUGAUUCGGUGGGUGGUGGUGCAUGGCCGUUCUUAGUUGGUGGAGCGAUUUGUCUGGUUAAUUCCGAUAACGAACGAGACUCUAGCCUGCUAAAUAGGCAGCGGAUUCUUAGUCCGCUGUACUUCUUAGAGGGACAAGCAGCGUCUAGCUGCACGAGAUUGAGCAAUAACAGGUCUGUGAUGCCCUUAGAUGUUCGGGGCUGCACGCGCGCUACACUGAAGGAAUCAACAUGCUUCUCAACCUUGCCCGGAAGGGCUAGGUAACCCGUUGAAACUCCUUCGUGAUUGGGAUAGGGAAUUGCAAUUAUUUCCCUUGAACGAGGAAUUCCCAGUAAGUGCGGGUCAUCAGCUCGCGCUGAUUACGUCCCUGCCCUUUGUACACACCGCCCGUCGCUACUACCGAUUGGAAGUAGACGAGAGGUCUCGGGAUCGAUUCCUGGGCUGCCUUCCGGUAGCCCAGGACAUUGAGAACUUGAUCUAUCGCCUAGUUCUAGAGGAAGUAAAAGUCGUAACAAGGUUUCCGUAGGUGAACCUGC
This 1749-nucleotide ribosomal RNA is filed under the name Prismatolaimus intermedius. Its description in RNAcentral is "SSU rRNA". It matches the Rfam family "Eukaryotic small subunit ribosomal RNA". The record is from RNAcentral. Lineage: Eukaryota; Metazoa; Nematoda; Enoplea; Triplonchida; Prismatolaimidae.